UGGUUCUAGUCACAACACUGUUACAUGUGUGAUGCAGUGUUUGAUAACAUACUUGGAUGAGGCCUUUCUACAGGAUCAUGGGAUCUGUUGAUCUCCAUUUUAAAAAAUAAAUCAUAGCUAAAAUUCAGUAAAGACCUCCCUAUUUUGUAAUCUGCGUGAAAUAUACUUGCAUCCAUUAUCCAAGCACAGCUGGGAAAUGGAUCACAGCUCUCACUUGCUGCCAUGUUGCUGUGAUAUUUGGCAGCUAGAACACCCUUUCUAAGGGGGAGAAGGAAUGACUGAGAAUGGCUUGAAUUAAAGAUGUAUCUCAUCUCUAUAGAGGAGGAGUCGAGAAGAGAUUAAAUCAUAAAAGCAUUUCCUGAGGCACACAAUCUACCUAGACCUAACGUAUUCAGAAAAUCAUAACUUUUUUUUCUGAAAUUACGAAAUACAUGCGCUGUACCUUCAGUGAAGCAUCUGUGAGUUAGUUGUUUUUGUACUGGCAUGAAAUGAAGUAUAUCUUAAUUUGGGAUUUUUAACUGAGUAUUUUAUAAAGAUGCUGUACACUAACUGUUAACACUUUAAUUUAUCCAAUGCUUAUGGCCUGGCCAUUGGUAUCUUUGUGUUGGAAAUAUUUAUCUAAAAAAUGCAACAGAUAAUCAGUUAAAUUAUUACAAAUCAAUCCUUGAAUAAUUGUAAUAAAUUCUCUAACACAAGCAUCUUAAUUUACCUUUGUGUGGAGCAAACAAAAUGUAGUAAUUUUCCAAAUGUGUUUUUAUUUUGUUUACCUUGAUCAAACUCAAAUGUUUAGUACAUGCAUGGAAGGAAUAGUCAAGCAUGUCUUUGUAUUUGGAAGUGAUGCCUGUCAUCUCUUUCGGCUUUUUUAUCAAAUAGCUAAUUAAAAAUGUAUUAACAGUCAAAAUGAAACCUUAGUAGCAUUUAAGUUGUAUGCUCCUGCCAUGAGAAACAUUUUUUAUAUGGCUCCAAAAAUAAGAAUUUCAGAACUUGUUUUCCUGAAUUCAGAAACUUGCAAUGAAGUUUUAGACUAAACUCAGGAUGCUUGCUUAAGUUUU
Molecule: long non-coding RNA, 1052 nt
Organism: Oxyura jamaicensis (ruddy duck)
Lineage: Eukaryota; Metazoa; Chordata; Aves; Anseriformes; Anatidae
Exons: 2
Source: RefSeq, a predicted model, not a curated record